This 255-nucleotide non-coding RNA is filed under the name Anolis carolinensis (green anole). RNAcentral's name for it is "Eukaryotic small subunit ribosomal RNA". It matches the Rfam family "Eukaryotic small subunit ribosomal RNA", at positions 1222 to 1469 of the family's 1831-position model. Lineage: Eukaryota; Metazoa; Chordata; Lepidosauria; Squamata; Anolidae. The record is from Rfam by way of RNAcentral.
CAGCCCGGACAUGGAAAGGAUUGACAGAUCAAUAGCUCUUUCUCGAUUCUGUGGGUGGUGGUGCAUGGCCGUUCUUAGUUGGUGGAACGAUUUGUCUGAUUAAUUCUGAUACAAUAAAAUACAGAGGUAUAAAAUACACAGUAUAAAAUCCAACAAUAUAAAAUACAUAACAAUCAGAACAGAUUAAUAUAUCAACUCUACAACACAGCUUCAGAAUAACAGAAGCAGAGAAGGCAAAUAUCAGUUCCAGGGUUG